AGAGUUUGAUCCUGGCUCAGGAUGAACGCUAGCUACAGGCUUAACACAUGCAAGUCGAGGGGCAGCGGAAGGGAGCUUGCUUCCUUUGCCGGCGACCGGCGCACGGGUGAGUAACGCGUAUCCAACCUUCCCCUUAGUAGAGGAUAGCCCGGCGAAAGUCGGAUUAAUACUCUAUGUUCUUCUUUGAUGACAUCUGAUAUGAAGCAAAGGCUUGCCGCUAAGGGAUGGGGAUGCGUCUGAUUAGGUAGUCGGCGGGGUAACGGCCCACCGAGCCUGCGAUCAGUAGGGGUUCUGAGAGGAAGGUCCCCCACAUUGGAACUGAGACACGGUCCAAACUCCUACGGGAGGCAGCAGUGAGGAAUAUUGGUCAAUGGGCGCGAGCCUGAACCAGCCAAGUAGCGUGCGGGAUGACGGCCCUACGGGUUGUAAACCGCUUUUAUAUGGGGAUAAAGUCGCCUACGUGUAGGUGUUUGUAGGUACCAUAUGAAUAAGGACCGGCUAAUUCCGUGCC
RNAcentral lists this ribosomal RNA (511 nucleotides) under uncultured organism. RNAcentral's name for it is "SSU rRNA". It matches the Rfam family "Bacterial small subunit ribosomal RNA", at positions 8 to 509 of the family's 1533-position model. The record is from RNAcentral.